UAGCUACUAUAAAUUGUUCUGCUUUUAGAAUGAAGUUUCUCACUUGCUGUGGACGUGACCAUAAAAGAAUUUUCCACUAGGUUUUCUUUCUGCUACUUUUUAGCAAUCAACCUGUUGGGAACAUUA
Small nucleolar RNA from Fukomys damarensis (Damara mole-rat), 126 nucleotides. The record is from Ensembl. Lineage: Eukaryota; Metazoa; Chordata; Mammalia; Rodentia; Bathyergidae.